This 254-nucleotide ribosomal RNA is filed under the name uncultured bacterium. RNAcentral's name for it is "partial 16S ribosomal RNA". It matches the Rfam family "Bacterial small subunit ribosomal RNA", at positions 524 to 776 of the family's 1533-position model. The record is from RNAcentral.
CACGUAGGGGGCAAGCGUUGUCCGGAUUUAUUGGGCGUAAAGAGCUCGUAGGCGGUUCGGUAAGUUGGGUGUGAAACCUCCAGGCUCAACCUGGAGACGCCACCCGAUACUGCUGUGACUAGAGUCCGGUAGGGGAGCGUGGAAUUCCUGGUGUAGCGGUGAAAUGCGCAGAUAUCGGGAGGAACACCAGCGGCGAAGGCGGCGCUCUGGGCCGGAACUGACGCUGAGGAGCGAAAGCGUGGGUAGCAAACAGG